Molecule: ribosomal RNA, 253 nt
Filed under: uncultured bacterium
Lineage: Bacteria
Description: partial 16S ribosomal RNA
Rfam family: Bacterial small subunit ribosomal RNA
Source: RNAcentral
UACGGAGGGUGCAAGCGUUGUCCGGAUUUAUUGGGCGUAAAGAGCUCGUAGGCGGCUUGUCGCGUCGAAUGUGAAAACUUGGGGCUCAACUCCAAGCUUGCAUUCGAUACGGGCAGGCUAGAGUUCGGUAGGGGAGACUGGAAUUCCUGGUGUAGCGGUGAAAUGCGCAGAUAUCAGGAGGAACACCUGCGGCGAAGGCGGGUUGCUGGGCUGACACUGACGCUGAGGCGCGAAAGCUAGGGGAGCGAACGGG